Molecule: long non-coding RNA, 2690 nt
Organism: Tetranychus urticae (two-spotted spider mite)
Lineage: Eukaryota; Metazoa; Arthropoda; Arachnida; Trombidiformes; Tetranychidae
Source: RefSeq, a predicted model, not a curated record
GGACGACUUGACAUAAUAAAGCCUUUGUAAAACAAAGGAAAAAUUUACCGCAACAUUAAAUCGUCUAAUUUUAUUUCUUCUGACUCUUAAUUAUUGUUUACUAACUGUUAUUACCAAUAUUCUUGCUUCUUAAUUGUAAUAGUGAACAAUGAUAAGAAUGUCUUACACACAAUGAUACCGAUUCAAAAAAAAAACAUUCCAAAUGAAGAUGUAAUUGAAUUUUCCACCCUCACAACUGUACCUAUUGUGUUACUCUGUGUUAUUUUUCACAAAUUGCUUUUUUUGCCACAAUGUUUCUAAUUUUUUUCAAUAUAAAUUUCAUCAACCCGGAAAUAUACCAUGUUUAAAGUUCUGUCUCUUUUGCUGUUGUUGGUAUUUUUUGAUUAAAUAUUAUUGCAAAUUGAAUUGCCAUUAAAUUGCUGUUCUAAGAGAUCAUUAAUGGUAACAAUUUUAGUUAUUAACUCUUGCUCAAGAAAGGAGUGUUCAUUCAGUAAUUGUUAAUUCCAUGGUUCCAUAUUCAAAGUUGAUUCAUGAUGAUCAUAAUCCACCCAUUAAUCUUGGAAUCAACCUUUCAUUGGAUUGGCCAUUAACAAGAUUCCCAGUCUAGAUCUUUCGGAAGUUAACAUUUGUCAAAAUUAGAAGAGCAAAUUUGGUUGCAAUGUUGACCGUUUAAAGUCAAUUAACUUUUACCUUUGGUUACCGGUCAAUCCAAUCCAUCAAUACUGAUGACAACUUUCAAUGGCGAUACAAAUUCAGGAUUCAACAGGGAGCUUUAUGACCAGUUUUCCCUGGACUGGCCAUACUUGUUUGGGCUAAUCCUUAUCAUCACCUAAUCACAAGAGUAAUGGAGAGAAAUACAAUGUAAAAUGGUUUCAAGAAGAGUGAAAUGAUCAACCUGAACACAAACUAUUGUUGUGUUGAAAAGGCUUGAAAAUCAUCACAAUCAUGAUACACCAUUGCGUGAUAGAUUGAUUAAAAGGGAAUCUACCUUUGAUUUUACAAACAUUACGUAUUACCAUUGAUUAUCUUUGAGGAACGAUUUGUACACUUACACAUUAAUUUAGUUUCAUUUUUUUACUUUCUCUCGCCUUCUUUCACAUUCAUUCAUAAUUUCAACUUUUACUCUUCAAUUGUUAUCAUGUUUACUUUUAUCAUGUGUAAUACAAUCAAGCAAAGUUAUAAUAAUAACGCUGGAAAAAAGCAAAUGAUUGAGCGAUGAUUGAACUUAAUGAUAUUUACUGGCAUUCAGGAAAGGUAUGAAGAAGAAGAAAAAAUUAAGAAAUCAAUGAAAUGUUACCUUGAGAUAAUUCUUGUACUUACAAACGCUUUUCCACUGUUUCAUUUCAACAUUUAUAUAACAUUAUUACUCUGGGAAUAUUUUUAUCAUUGGAAUUAUCAUUAUUAUUGAAUGUGUAUGUUUUUUUCAAUCAACAAUCAGAGAAAAUAAUUUUGUAAUGAUUACUCAUAAAAAGUAAAUUGAAAAAGGGUCUUUCCCUGAGUAAAUAUUUCAAUAGACUUGUCCAUAUGAAGAAAGCUAAAGUACACCGAAACAUCUUCACAUUACCUAAUUGUUGAAGCAUGUUCAUUUCAUUUAGUCAAUGUAAUUGUUGUUUUACCCGGUUAAUUCAAUUGUUGCAAUCAUUAUUCCGGAAGUUAAUAUCAUCAAUCACUCAUGAAAGUCAUGGUGAAAACAAUUUAAUAAAAGGUAUUACUAAUGAAGCUCAAGACAGGCAUUGAUACUCGAGGCGCUGUUGUCCACUUACACAUGUUAAGAGUAACUUAUUAGCAGCAAGUUAUUACUAGUCUAAUGCUACUGACUCAAGUGGAUUAACUUGUAAUGCUUAGGUGUUUUUAUUGUUUAAUUGUUGUCUGGUAAAUUGUUAUUUUAAACCUGUAAUUGUGUUAACUAAAGGAUCAUUUUAAUACCCUGGAUUAAAUUAAUCCUAUUAUGAUGAAGGUUAUUUUAUUGGAAUGGCAAAUUAUCAUGCUAAUCAUCUCUGGAUUUGAUUGUUUUCCGAAGCCAAGCAAAGACAAUACAAAAGGGCAAAAUGUACAUUUUCCGUUCUCUGGAUUAAAGCAACUCCAGGCUAUUUGAAGGAGGACCAUCAAAGGAUCAUCAUUAUGACCAUCACCAACAACAUUGAAAUAAUGAUGAACUGAAAGAGCAAUUAUUUGGUCACAGACGUAAUCCAUUGAAAGGCUGUUAACCAGAGCGAUGACACCAAAUGAAACUUCAUAGGAUGCAAAGGCUUUAUUUAUCGAUAUUUUUGAUUGAUUUAUAUCUAUCACGUUAUAUCUGAUUUGGUUAAUUCAAGUCAAUUGAUCAGAAUGACCACAAAAACAGUUAAUCGCCGGCAACUAUCAUAGCAAUGGCCACACCAAAAGCAAUGGAUGUUUGCCUCAUAUGAUUAUACAUAUUACUUACAUGUUAGUGUGUUUAUUAUAGUAAUUAGAUGACAAUUAAUUCAUCAAAUUGCGCUGUGCAAAUCUAAAUUAAAACUCAAAGGUGUCUUAAAUCAUACCUUUGUUGUAUAUCAUUAAUGUGUUUCUGCAAAUGGGUAAAUAAGUAAAUUGAUCAUCAUCUUGUUUACCCGGUCAAAAUCGUGUUACCCAGAGUAAAUGUAAAUUGUAAUUUGUAACUAUUUACAAAAUUAUUAGUUAUCACCAUUAAACAAUAAUUUUUUCUUCUU